CCGCCUACGGGAGGCAGCAGUGGGGAAUAUUGCACAAUGGGGGAGACCCUGAUGCAGCGACGCCGCGUGAGUGAAGAAGCAAUUCGUUAUGUAAAGCUCUAUCAGCAGGGAAGAAAAUGACGGUACCUGAGUAAGAAGCCCCGGCUAACUACGUGCCAGCAGCCGCGGUAAUACGUAGGUGGCGAGCGUUAUCCGGAAUGAUUGGGCGUAAAGGGUGCGUAGGCGGCCUGCUAAGUCUGGAGUGAAAGGUACCGGCUCAACCGGUAUAGGCUCUGGAAACUGGCGGGCUAGAGAGCAGGAGAGGG
Molecule: ribosomal RNA, 305 nt
Filed under: uncultured bacterium
Lineage: Bacteria
Description: bacterial SSU rRNA
Rfam family: Bacterial small subunit ribosomal RNA
Source: RNAcentral